CCUACGGGAGGCAGCAGUGAGGAAUAUUGGUCAAUGGACGAGAGUCUGAACCAGCCAAGUAGCGUGAAGGAUGACUGCCCUAUGGGUUGUAAACUUCUUUUAUAUGGGAAUAAAACGUUCCACGUGUGGGAUUUUGUAUGUACCAUAUGAAUAAGGAUCGGCUAAAUCCGUGCCAGCAGCCGCGGUAAUACGGAGGAUCCGAGCGUUAUCCGGAUUUAUUGGGUUUAAAGGGAGCGUAGGUGGAUUGUUAAGUCAGUUGUGAAAGUUUGCGGCUCAACCGUAAAAUUGCAGUUGAAACUGGCAGUCUUGAGUACAGUAGAGGUGGGCGGAAUUCGGUGUGUAGCGGUGAAAUGCUUAGAUAUCACGAAGAACUCCGAUUGCGAAGGCAGUUCACUGGACUGCAACUGACACUGAGGCUCGAAAGUGUGGGUAUCAAACAGGAUUAGAUACCCCUGUAGUC
RNAcentral lists this ribosomal RNA (460 nucleotides) under uncultured bacterium. Its description in RNAcentral is "partial 16S ribosomal RNA". It matches the Rfam family "Bacterial small subunit ribosomal RNA", at positions 338 to 795 of the family's 1533-position model. The record is from RNAcentral.